Molecule: RNase P RNA, 335 nt
Filed under: bovine gut metagenome
Description: Bacterial RNase P class A
Rfam family: Bacterial RNase P class A
About the family: Ribonuclease P (RNase P) is a ubiquitous endoribonuclease, found in archaea, bacteria and eukarya as well as chloroplasts and mitochondria. Its best characterised activity is the generation of mature 5'-ends of tRNAs by cleaving the 5'-leader elements of precursor-tRNAs.
Source: RNAcentral
AGCGGGCCGGGCAGCCGCAUGCAUCGCAUGAGGAAAGUCCGGGCUUCAAAGGGCAGGAUGCCAGCUAACGGCUGGGCGGGGCGACCCGACGGAUCAGUGCCACAGAAAAGAAGACUCCCGCCUUCGGGCGAGAAAAGCUGAAACGGUGUGGUAAGAGCGCACCAGCAUGCAGGUAACUGCAUGGCUUGGCAAACCCCAUCCGAAGCAAGCGCAAAUAGGGAUGCCAUACGGUUGCCCUUCCGUGCAUCCGGGUUGCGUGCUCGAGGCGGCAGGCGACUGCCGUCCUAGAUAAAUGGCUGCCUUCAACGACAGAACCCGGCUUACACGCCCGCUCC